GAGACGGCAGUGGUUGAAACAAAGCGGUAUGUUUUGACUGGCACUAACGGCACUAACGGCACAACGGUUGAGGAGUGAAGAUCAGUUGAGCGUUUCUGUGACUCCGCCCAGCGGCUGCUCUUCUGAGAGGCACCGCUCUGACAGCUCUGUCUACUGGGAAACGCGCUAAAAGUCCUUCUGGAGGCUUUGCAUUUGAACUCCUAUGACUGGUUGCGGUCUUGAAGGGAAUGACUUCCUGGCCUUCCUGACAUCCAGGAAAAUGUUUUAUUUGACAGUAGAGAUCUAAUGGAAACAGUGGAGAGGGAGGAGAUGAUAUGCAGCAAAAGGCCGAGCCGGAUGGUUGCUGCUCCAUGUGGAACGUGUUCGAUCAGGUAAAGCACUUUGGUACCCAGUUAUUUAUGGUAUUGAGUUUGAAUUUAGCCUUUG
This is a long non-coding RNA of Trematomus bernacchii (emerald rockcod), 426 nucleotides long. RefSeq lists it as uncharacterized. The transcript has 3 exons. NCBI's taxonomy places the organism in Eukaryota, Metazoa, Chordata, Actinopteri, Perciformes, Nototheniidae. The record is from RefSeq and is a predicted model, not a curated record.